GAGUUUGAUCCUGGCUCAGGACGAACGCUGGCGGCGUGCUUAACACAUGCAAGUCGAACGAGAAUCUACUGAAAGAGUUUUCGGACAAUGGAAGUAGAGGAAAGUGGCGGACGGGUGAGUAACGCGUGAGGAACCUGCCUUGAAGAGGGGGACAACAGUUGGAAACGACUGCUAAUACCGCAUGAAGCAUAGGGGUCGCAUGAUCUUUAUGCCAAAGAUUUAUCGCUUCAAGAUGGCCUCGCGUCUGAUUAGCUAGUUGGCGGGGUAACGGCCCACCAAGGCGACGAUCAGUAGCCGGACUGAGAGGUUGAACGGCCACAUUGGGACUGAGAUACGGCCCAGACUCCUACGGGAGGCAGCAGUGGGGAAUAUUGGGCAAUGGGCGCAAGCCUGACCCAGCAACGCCGCGUGAAGGAAGAAGGCUUUCGGGUUGUAAACCUCUUUUAAGAGGGAAGAGCAGAAGACGGUACCUCUAGAAUAAGCCACGGCUAACUACGUGCCAGCCGCCGCGGUAAUAC
RNAcentral lists this ribosomal RNA (518 nucleotides) under uncultured bacterium. RNAcentral describes it as "bacterial SSU rRNA". It matches the Rfam family "Bacterial small subunit ribosomal RNA", at positions 9 to 526 of the family's 1533-position model. The record is from RNAcentral.